Long non-coding RNA from Betta splendens (Siamese fighting fish), 1793 nucleotides. RefSeq lists it as uncharacterized. The transcript is spliced from 3 exons. NCBI's taxonomy places the organism in Eukaryota, Metazoa, Chordata, Actinopteri, Anabantiformes, Osphronemidae. The record is from RefSeq and is a predicted model, not a curated record.
AGUCAAACUGUUCAGUUGAGUGAAGACUUUGCUAAAACGUUCAUAAAGGAUUUGAAACUACAAAAACAACUGAAGCGACAUGAACAAGAGAUGCUGUCAGUCAGCUUCUCCCUGCACGGCAGAACAUGGCUGCAGGUCGAAGCUGCCAAAUCACGUCAUGUGCAUGGAGUCACAGUGAUACGGAGCCUUAUCUGGUCCUGGGUGACGUUAGCGGAGAGUUUGUGCAGCCGGAGCCUUGUUGCAUCACUGUGACGACUGAUGUGAAGCUCCGGGAGACUUCAUCGAUGUUGGGUUCAACCCCUCGACAGGCUGAAUCGGACUCUGUUUGAGUGAAAACAGAAGCAGCUUUCUGAGGCCAGGUCUGCAUAACCCCCCCCCCCCACCCCCCGUGUGGCGUCAAGAAGCUGCCUGUGUGCCGCCUGCUGAUUGUGGGUAAGGUAAAUAUGCGCUGUGCUCAUUAUGCCCCCUCCUCAUGUUCGCCUCGGCAACAAGAACUGAGUGUGAGGCCAAGAGGAGGCAUGAAACACAAGCUCUGUCUGAGAGACGCAGGUCUGACAGAGGUUCAGCCACAGGACAGCAGCGACCCGGCUCUGCUGAUGGUUUGGUUCGACACCUAACCCCCUAACCAAAUAUUAAAUUAUUUCAUAUUCAAACUAUUGUACAGACAUGUGUUGUUUUCUCAUCCUGACAUUUUCCAGGGCUAAUCAGCUUCACACGCUCAAUCUCUGACGACCCGUGACGUCAGCACUGUCAUGCAUUUCCCACAGUUCCCACCGGCAGGUACGGUCUGGAACAAAGUGGGGGUCAUCGGGUCUCUGCUUAUCUGUCCGAGUCUCCCGUCUCACAUGUGGACCCUAAGAUAGAGGCCGGGACAAAGGUUCAAUCUCACCCCUGGGAGGAGUCUGCUCUGUCCUCGGUCUCUUCUCUGCUGGCGCUUGUUGUCUUGCUCCACAUUUCCUCUUCCUCUGUAAACCGUAGAUCUACUGAUUGAAACACUGGCGCAGCGACAGUGAUGGUUCUGCAGCGAUUCCAUGUUUCCCACUACCACACCCUGAGCGUGUAUCAAGAUCAUUUCUUCAUGCUUGUGGAGCGUUACAAUUAUCUGUGGCGAUUUUAUUCACUUUUUAAUGUUCAUUCCAUCAGUGAUGAGAAAUAAGUCCUUGAAAUGCAUUUCCAGCUAGAUUCAGGAGAGAGGAUCUGCUCUUGAACUGCAGUGGGGUGAGGGUUCAUGUUAACUGUAUUCCUGCUUUUCUUCACAAAUGACCUUAAGGAGCAGCGCGUCCUCCCUCUGCUCUCACCCUGCAUCUCUGCUGAGAAUUGUCAGACAGGCAACACAAGAGGCCUCUGUGCGUUUCUCCUCAAGAGACGUCUGGUGGAGACGUAAGUUUUACCAGACACACUGUCCUCUCUGUCUCUCUUGGCUUCUUGUCAGCGUUUUGUGUCCUUGUGGAGGUUUGAUGGAUGUAUUAACACGUGUGGCUCUGUCACCACCUACGUCUCCUGAGGGUUAAACUUAUUUUUUCAUGGGUCCUGCGUUGCUGCAUUAUUGCAGUUACCAUCGGGAGCCCAGAAUUAAAAAUUAAGUGUUCAGAAUAUCCUCAUUUAAAUAUAUGAGAUGUGUCUUGCGCCUUUUUUGUGUAUGUUAUGUCUAAGCAACAAGCGCUAGGAGUUCAACUUUACUUUCUCUGUGUGAGAUGGACAAUACUAAACAUUAGCCAGUAGAUGUCAGUGUUGCCACUGUCUUUAGAAAAACUCAGUUGUUUCUUUUAUAUGAAGCUUUAGCAAAAUUUGAU